UGGGGAAUAUUGGACAAUGGGCGAAAGCCUGAUCCAGCCAUGCCGCGUGAGUGAUGAAGGCCUUAGGGUUGUAAAGCUCUUUUGUCAGGGAAGAUAAUGACGGUACCUGAAGAAUAAGCACCGGCUAACUUCGUGCCAGCAGCCGCGGUAAUACGAAGGGUGCUAGCGUUGUUCGGAAUCACUGGGCGUAAAGCGCGCGUAGGCGGCUUAACAAGUCAGAGGUGAAAGCCUGGAGCUCAACUCCAGAAUUGCCUUUGAAACUGUUAAGCUAGAGUGUCGGAGGGGAUAGCGGAAUUGCUAAUGUAGAGGUGAAAUUCGUAGAUAUUAGCAGGAACACCGGUGGCGAAGGCGGCUAUCUGGACGACAACUGACGCUGAGGCGCGAAAGUGUGGGGAUCAAACA
RNAcentral lists this ribosomal RNA (402 nucleotides) under uncultured Alphaproteobacteria bacterium. RNAcentral's name for it is "partial 16S ribosomal RNA". It matches the Rfam family "Bacterial small subunit ribosomal RNA", at positions 355 to 774 of the family's 1533-position model. Lineage: Bacteria; Pseudomonadati; Pseudomonadota; Alphaproteobacteria. The record is from RNAcentral.